AGUGAACGCUGGCGGCAGGCCUAACACAUGCAAGUCGAACGGAUCCUUCGGGAUUAGUGGCGGACGGGUGAGUAACACGUGGGAACGUGCCCUUUGGUUCGGAACAACUCAGGGAAACUUGAGCUAAUACCGGACGUGACCUUCGGGGGAAAGAUUUAUCGCCAUUGGAGCGGCCCGCGUCUGAUUAGAUGGUUGGGGAGGUAACGGCCCACCAAGGCGACGAUCAGUAGCUGGUUAGUGAGGAAGGUCAGCCACACUGAGACUGAGACACGGCCCGGACUCCUACGGGAGGCAGGAGUGGGGAAUCGUGCGCAAUGGGGGAAAGCAUGACGCAGCCAGGACGGGUGAAUGAUGAAAGUCUUAGGAUAGUAAAAUGCUUGCAGCGGUGACGAUAAUGACGGUACCCGCAGAAGAAGCUCCGGCUAACUUCGUG
This 433-nucleotide ribosomal RNA is filed under the name uncultured bacterium. RNAcentral describes it as "partial 16S ribosomal RNA". It matches the Rfam family "Bacterial small subunit ribosomal RNA", at positions 29 to 507 of the family's 1533-position model. The record is from RNAcentral.